This 253-nucleotide ribosomal RNA is filed under the name uncultured bacterium. RNAcentral's name for it is "partial 16S ribosomal RNA". It matches the Rfam family "Bacterial small subunit ribosomal RNA", at positions 524 to 776 of the family's 1533-position model. The record is from RNAcentral.
UACGAAGGGGACUAGCGUUGUUCGGAAUUACUGGGCGUAAAGCGCACGUAGGCGGAUUUGUUAGUCAGGGGUGAAAUCCCGGGGCUCAACCUCGGAACUGCCUUUGAUACUGCAAGUCUCGAGUCCGAUAGAGGUGGGUGGAAUUCCUAGUGUAGAGGUGAAAUUCGUAGAUAUUAGGAAGAAUACCGGUGGCGAGGGCGGCCCACUGGAUCGGUACUGACGCUGAGGUGCGAAAGCGUGGGGAGCAAACGGG